RNAcentral lists this ribosomal RNA (497 nucleotides) under uncultured bacterium. RNAcentral describes it as "partial 16S ribosomal RNA". It matches the Rfam family "Bacterial small subunit ribosomal RNA", at positions 28 to 507 of the family's 1533-position model. The record is from RNAcentral.
GAUGAACGCUGGCGGCGUGCCUAAUACAUGCAAGUCGAGCGAACAGAUAAGGAGCUUGCUCCUUUGACGUUAGCGGCGGACGGGUGAGUAACACGUGGGUAACCUACCUAUAAGACUGGAAUAACUCCGGGAAACCGGGGCUAAUGCCGGAUGACAUUUAGAACCGCAUGGUUCUAAAGUGAAAGAUGGUUUUGCUAUCACUUAUAGAUGGACCCGCGCCGUAUUAGCUAGUUGGUAAGGUAACGGCUUACCAAGGCAACGAUACGUAGCCGACCUGAGAGGGUGAUCGGCCACACUGGAACUGAGACACGGUCCAGACUCCUACGGGAGGCAGCAGUAGGGAAUCUUCCGCAAUGGGCGAAAGCCUGACGGAGCAACGCCGCGUGAGUGAUGAAGGUCUUCGGAUCGUAAAACUCUGUUAUUAGGGAAGAACAAAUGUGUAAGUAACUGUGCACGUCUUGACGGUACCUAAUCAGAAAGCCACGGCUAACUACGUG